GGUUAAGCUACAAAGAGCACACGGAGGAUGCCUAGGCGCCAGGAGCCGACGAAGGACGUGGCGAACAACGAUAAAGCCUCGGGGAGCUGUAAGCAAGCUUUGAUCCGGGGAUGUCCGAAUGGGGAAACCCGGCUGUCUUCAUCGACAGUCACUUUCUGCUGAAUACAUAGGCAGAAUAGAGGCAGACCAGGGGAACUGAAACAUCUAAGUACCCUGAGGAAGAGAAAACAAUAGUGAUUCCGUCAGUAGCGGCGAGCGAACGCGGAUUAGCCCAAACCAAGGAGCUUGCUCCUUGGGGUUGUGGGACGUCUCACAUGGAGUUACAAAGGAACCGGUUAGAUGAAGAGGUCUGGAAAGGCCCGCCAGAGAAGGUAAAAGCCCUGUAGUUCAAAACUUGUUCUCUCCGAGACGGAUCCCGAGUAGUGCGGGGCACGUGAAACCCCGUAUGAAUCCGGCAGGACCAUCUGCCAAGGCUAAAUACUCCCUGGCGACCGAUAGUGAAGCAGUACCGUGAGGGAAAGGUGAAAAGCACCCCGGAAGGGGAGUGAAAUAGAUCCUGAAACCGUGUGCUUACAAGAAGUCAGAGCCC
Molecule: ribosomal RNA, 589 nt
Filed under: Paenibacillus polymyxa
Lineage: Bacteria; Bacillati; Bacillota; Bacilli; Caryophanales; Paenibacillaceae
Description: partial 23S ribosomal RNA
Rfam family: Bacterial large subunit ribosomal RNA
Source: RNAcentral